UACAGAGGUCUCAAGCGUUGUUCGGAUUCAUUGGGCGUAAAGGGUGUGUAGGUGGCGCCGUAAGUCGGGUGUGAAAUUUCGGAGCUUAACUCCGAAACUGCAUUCGAUACUGCGGUGCUUGAGGACUGGAGAGGAGACUGGAAUUCAUGGUGUAGCAGUGAAAUGCGUAGAGAUCAUGAGGAAGACCAGUGGCGAAGGCGGGUCUCUGGGCCGGAACUGACGCUAAGGAGCGAAAGCGUGGGGAGCGAACAGG
Molecule: ribosomal RNA, 253 nt
Filed under: uncultured bacterium
Lineage: Bacteria
Description: partial 16S ribosomal RNA
Rfam family: Bacterial small subunit ribosomal RNA
Source: RNAcentral